GACGAAGGUGGCAAGCGUUGUUCGGAAUCACUGGGCAUAAAGCGCACGUAGGCGGCGGCGUAAGUUGGGUGUGAAAUCCCUCGGCCUAACCGAGGAACUGCGCCCAGUACUGCGUUGCUUGAGGAUCAAAGGGGUGCAUGGAAUUCCCGGUGGAGCGGUGAAAUGCGUUGAUAUCGGGAGGAACUCCGGCGGCGAAAGCGGUGCACUGGUUGAUUUCUGACGCUGAGGUGCGAAAGCCAGGGGAGCAAACGGG
This 253-nucleotide ribosomal RNA is filed under the name uncultured bacterium. Its description in RNAcentral is "partial 16S ribosomal RNA". It matches the Rfam family "Bacterial small subunit ribosomal RNA", at positions 524 to 776 of the family's 1533-position model. The record is from RNAcentral.